Molecule: long non-coding RNA, 94 nt
Organism: Nanorana parkeri
Lineage: Eukaryota; Metazoa; Chordata; Amphibia; Anura; Dicroglossidae
Exons: 3
Source: RefSeq, a predicted model, not a curated record
CUUGAUAUAAAUGUUGGGGGAUCUCCUGACACCAAGGACAGGAUUAUGUACCCAGAGCAAGGUGGUUACACACCUUUCAUACCUCCCAUCCUGU